This 290-nucleotide long non-coding RNA is filed under the name Populus tremula. RNAcentral's name for it is "long non-coding RNA (PTRE_LNC002999)". The record is from RNAcentral. Lineage: Eukaryota; Viridiplantae; Streptophyta; Magnoliopsida; Malpighiales; Salicaceae.
UGGGAGGCGCCGGAGCUGGAAGCUGUGGGAAAGAAGAGAAAAAUAAAUCAAACCCGCGGGGAAGAAGAGUUGUGGCUGGUUCUCCGUGGGGAAAGGAGAGUGGUGCUGUUGGUGGGUCUGUGUUGAUGACCGGGUUGUGGAGAAGGAAGGAAAAUGAAGGGGAAAAUGGAGAUGACGGUGGGGAAAUGGUCUGUCUUGGCUUCAAUGGUGGCGGCUUCUUCGUGGGCUGAGUUUAGCUGGCCAGAAGAAGGAGAACCAUGGGGAGCUCCAGUGAAGAAGAAGAAGAGAAA